UUUUAUGGAGAGUUUGAUCCUGGCUCAGGAUGAACGCUGGCGGCGUGCCUAAUACAUGCAAGUCGAGCGAACAGACGAGGAGCUUGCUCCUCUGACGUUAGCGGCGGACGGGUGAGUAACACGUGGAUAACCUACCUAUAAGACUGGGAUAACUUCGGGAAACCGGAGCUAAUACCGGAUAAUAUAUUGAACCGCAUGGUUCAAUAGUGAAAGACGGU
Molecule: ribosomal RNA, 218 nt
Filed under: Staphylococcus epidermidis
Lineage: Bacteria; Bacillati; Bacillota; Bacilli; Caryophanales; Staphylococcaceae
Description: partial 16S ribosomal RNA
Rfam family: Bacterial small subunit ribosomal RNA
Source: RNAcentral